GCAUUUUGCAGAGUCACACGUGCAUAUCAUGACUGAGUGAGGAUUUGAAUCAAGGUUUUCAUGGCUCUAGUCUGGCACACUAACCACUGUGCUGCACUGUCCAUAUUUUGACAUUGGUCAGGAUCACAAAAAGAGGGGAGGAAGAGAGAUGCUGGGGAUUGAACCUUGGUCUUCCUUGAACCUUAACCAGCAAGUUGAUGGUUCUGUAUUUCUGGAAGUUAAGAAAUACAAAAAAAUUAAUAAUGGGGAUCUCAAGUCUUUUAAGUCUUGGUCCUUAAGAAGUCAAAAACAUCACCUUCCAGAUACAAGGGGGAAGUGGCAAAAGGCUUGGGAUAACCCAAAGUUAUGCAGAAGUUCAACAAAAAAGGGGGAGACACACCCCAAGCAUCCCAAUGAGAACUGAGCCUCCUCCAUGGCCCUAAACUCUUUACUGACCACAGGGAAAGGAACUGUAGGGGAAGGGGGCUAGAGUAUUUUGAAAAGAGGGCAGGGGGUGGAAUAUACUGGAAGGGAGCAUGACUGAACAGUUGCACUCCACACUGUCAGGUGGAUUGUAGCUCAGUGGUGGAACAUCUACUUUGCAUGCAAAAGUUCCCAGGUUCAAACCCCAGUUAUGUCCAGGUAGGACUGGGAGAAACUCAUUUCUCAUUUAUGUUAAGUUUUGCUGAUGCUGGCUCCCAGCUGCCCAUCUAUCCCAGAAUGAGCUGUGUGUUUAUCAUGCUGCUGUGAGCAAGGAUGCUAUCGGAUCUGAGUGGGCUGGGUGGAUUUAAUUCCCGCAAAUCCUCUCCGGAAUUAUUUAUCUUGGUCAAUCCUGUGGGUGUCUGGGAGUAACAUCAAGGAGAAAAGCUGUUUAUGUCUGGCAUGCAGCUUCUCGGAACUGUAAACCGAAUCUGACUUCUGCUUAAUAUAUAGAUAGAGCAACACACCAAAGUUCCAAAGUUGUGGUUUUCCCAUUGUGAAGAUGUGUCUGAAGCAUAAGAGAAACCAAAAGUUAAAAUUAUAACCCUAGCACAAUUUUGUUUAAAGGUGGCAAUUGGAGAAGAUCAUGUUUAUUUAUUUGUACGCAGUAAGCUUACUUGUUAUGCACAAAGAUGGAUAGCAGUUUGGUUCUCUGAUGCCAUUUCAGAAAAUCAGCUUCUUUUGAGCAGCGAUUUCGAAUACAGUAGUGCAGGGUCCGUGUGUGUGUGUGUGUGUGUGUGUGUGCAUGGCCCAUUCCAUGCCUGUCCUUCAAUUGCCCCCUUUUUUCAGAAGGUGCCCCAAAGGUGUGUUUACCUAUGUUUGGAACACCUGUGAGGGAAAAGAACUUGGGGGGAAGGGGGCACUGAUUCAGAAUAGCGGAAUCAGGGAUAAGUGGUAAGCCACCCACCCCUCAAUUUUAAGAAUUGCAACCCUCAGCAAUGUUCAAGUGGUCCAUGGCGGUGGUGGUGUUGAGUUUGGGAGCCACUGUAUUAGAGACAGACAUACAGCAUAUAGAUCAAAAAUUGAGUUGUUGUCCUUUGGAGUGACAGCCAGAAAUUUGAAGGGUGCAAUAGCAGUUCAUGUGAGUUUCUUCCUAUUGUGCAUUGUUUAAAAGUACGGUAAUUCUGUCAGAAACAAAGGUCUCAGCCCUAGCUAACACACAGCAGUCUUAGCAGGCUGGAAAAUAGCCCCCGUUUGCAGAUAAAAUAUAUUAACCAUGGCCUUGAAGAAAGCGUCAACACCCAGCAUACUGCAGGCUGCUGCCAUGUGAUCUGUUUCACAGGUGAACUUUUUUAGGCCUUAAAAUAAAAUUCAGCAGAUGGAGGAGCAUGCAAGCUAUUAAUGGUUCUUUAAAAAUGACAAUGAAGUCACUAUUAAUGAAAUAAAUAUUAUUAUUAGUUUAUUUCUGGGUUUUGCUUUCUCAUCUGAGUUUGCCAUGGCUCAGCUUCUUAUACUGUUGCUCCUUGCUACAUUCACCCAUUUCUGGGACUGGUUCAGACAACCUUUGAAAAAUCUGGUCUUGCCCUAAAUGAAAUCUCUGUUGGGAGGCAGUAUGCCUCUUAAAACCAGUUGCUGGGAAUCUCAUUUCAUUAGUUGUGAUUGCACCAUAUUCUGCAGCCCUGCAGAGGAACAGCUGGUUCCCUUCUCCCAGAACUGCCCACCACUAGGUUUGUUGACAUUGUCUGAAAGGUUUGGGCCUUUAAACUACUGGGCAGUGGGCAGGAAUUCAUAAGCUGAACUCAUUGCUUGCUAUAGCUUCUCAAACGUGUCUGUUGAAUUUUUAAAUUUUUUUUUGCCAAUAGUGACACAGAUAGCACCACAGGAGUGUGCCAGAAAAUGUGAAGUUCUCUUUAUUAUUGGUAAUGCCAUAACCUUUUUAAGAAUAGCUCAAAUCACAUAUAGCACAUUCUGAAGAGGGAAAACCAGAAAAAAUAAAAGGCAUUUUGUUAUUUUGAGCCAAGCUUGUAGGACCUGUUUCGUUGUUCUUGUUGUUUUGCUAAAGGGACAGCGGGAGGUACAAACUGUUAGGUAGCAAUAGGCUCAUUUGUCAUUUAUAUAUAUAAUAUGUGCAAUUCUUCUAUUGUCAGUUUAAGUUCCACCACACUGAAACCCAGCCAAAUCUUUGCAAUGAAAAAGAUACAAAAUGUUUGGGUGGAACUAUAAAGCUCCAGGUUUGGGAAUUUGGAACCACAGCUGUGAUUUUUUUCUCCCACAGUAAAGCAUUUGAAUUCUGCUUCAUUGUGCACACUUCACAGAGAGUAUUCUGCAAGGGAAAUGAGAUUAGGGGAUCUGAAAGGGAGAGAGAACGAGAGUCAGACAGAGGCUCUUCAGGAACUAGCACUGCUCAGGACCUCUUUCUCCCUUCUACCACCAAACACUGGCCAUCUGUUGAGAACAGUUGGCCAGAGAUGGAACUCAGGAAGUUGCAUUGAACCAGCAUAGAACAUAGGAACCAAGUCAGACGAUUGGCCUGUCUAGCUCAGUAUUGUCAACACUGAAUGGCAGCAGCUCUCUAGGGUUUCAAGGUAGUAAACUCUCCCAGCCCUACCUGGUAAUGUCUUGAGAUCGAAACUUUUGAAUGCAAAGCAGAAGCUCUGCCUCUGAGCUUUGGUCUGUCCUACAAAUGCCAGGCUGUUGAUUCUUGUAGCUUAGCAUUGUUGGCUUACCGUCUAUGUGAUCCCUUUAACUGAUGGCAACGCUGCUGGUAAUAUGUUCUGCAAUUCAAGCAGUGGUGUAGGAGUAAAGACUUGAGGGCAGAUACCUCUUUAAACUUUUAUCAUUACACAAUUCUAUGCACCGCUUCUCUGCUUGCUUCUUGAUCUUAGAACUUGGCCGUACUGGAGUUUCCUAGUCUUUUCAGUCUCCCCCAAGCUGUUUCCCGAACUUUUCCCUCCCCCCCCCCUCCAGAUUUCAUGUGGGGAAAGAUGGGCCACAACUGUGUGCAGUAUUCUUAGCCCACUGGCUCACUUCAAGGAACAUUGGGCUAUUUUUUGCAAAGCUGUGUUUCAAACCGCAUUUCCCCCCUGAAGUUCCCCCAGAUUGCGGCUUGCACGACAUUUCCCCAUGGGUCCGUUGUGGAGCGACAAAGUGGCAGCCAGAAGACAACAUUGGGGAGAGCAGGACCUGGAAAGCAAAUAGGUAUCUCAAAAUGACAGAGUGAAAUAUUUCCACUUGGGAGACACGAGACAGAGAUGCCUUUGCUCUAGGAGUCUGGAUCCCUGCCACCUGAACCACAAAACCUAGUU
This is a non-coding RNA of Podarcis lilfordi (Lilford's wall lizard), 3704 nucleotides long. Lineage: Eukaryota; Metazoa; Chordata; Lepidosauria; Squamata; Lacertidae. The record is from the annotation of a GenBank genome assembly.